CCACCAAUGAGGUCAGGUCAGCGGAUCGCCUCAGGCAGCACCAGGUAGGGGCAAGAGGGGGGCAGAGGAAGGGCCUUAGGCAAUGAGCGCUUUUUAUUGUGGCAAAGGGGUUAGGUUAAGAAAGUGGCAUUGGGGGUGGGGGGGGGGGGGGGGCUCUGUUUCAGUUUUUGCCUCAGGCAGCAGAAAGUGCACCCCUGGCGGAACAAGCUACCCCAU
Molecule: long non-coding RNA, 216 nt
Organism: Bufo bufo (common toad)
Lineage: Eukaryota; Metazoa; Chordata; Amphibia; Anura; Bufonidae
Exons: 3
Source: RefSeq, a predicted model, not a curated record